CCCUACCCACCUUUAGUUACCACUCAGUUAAUCCACAUCAGAGGAUUAAUUCACUGAUUGGGUUAAGACUCUCCCAACCCAAUAAUUUCUCCUCUGAACCUUCUUGCAUUGUCUCCAUGCUUUUGGAGGACACCUCACAUCUAAACCAUAACACCUUGUUUCUUCAAAAACUUUCAUCCAAUGACUCCACAAUGCCAGGUUCUCCUAAGCCUCCUAAAUGUCAUCCUCCCUUACAGAUAUCCUUCAAUAUUCUCAACUUUCUUGCUCAGUAUUUCCUGUGUUGGUAAACUCAUCUAAUUUUACGAUUUUGAUGCCUCCUCUUUAAAACUGAGUCCUAAAUAUAUAUUCUCACUUCUGAGUUCUGACCCAAAGUUUCUUGCUGCAUUUUGGACAUCUGCAACUCAAUUUCAGAUGAAUAGCUGACAAUUUUGUUAUCCUUUCAAUAAAUUCCACUAUCUUUCUGCACUCCUCAUCUUUGUUAUACAGAUAGAGCUUUUAGAAUUCAAGUCUUAAGCACAUGAAAAUUAAGUCAUUAGGGAAACACAAAACCACAAUGAGAUAUCACUUCACACAGGAUAUCUUAUAAUAGUAAGACAGUAACAAAUGCUAUUGAGGAUAUAGAGAAAAAAAUAUAUUUCACAGGCAUGAACAUAAAAUUGUACAGCCAUUGGGAAAACAGUUUGGCAGUUUCUGAUAAUACUAAACAAAACUACCAUAAAACCCAGGAAUUCUACUCCUAGAUAUCUAUCCAAGAGAAAUGAAAAUGUGUGUCCACUCAAAUGUUCAUAGCAGCAUUAUUCAUAAUAGUCAAACACCUGAAGAACUCAAGCGUUGAACUGAUUAAUGGAUAAACUGUGGUAUUCCCAUAUAAUGAAGUAUUAUUCACACACAAAAAUGUUUAGAGUGCUGCUACAUGCUAUGAUGUGAAUAAAUUUUGAAAAUACUAUGCUAAGUAAAAGUAAGCCAGAUAAAAAGUCACAUAUGAUUCCAAGUAUACAUAUCCAGAAAGACCAAACUGAUAGAGAAAGUAGAUUAAAGGUUUCCUCGGGUUGGGGGUAGAAAUGCCAAAUAACUAAAUGGGCAUGGAGUGUCUUUACUGGAGGAGAUAAAAAAUAUUCUGAAACUGAUUUUUGGUUACCGCUAC
This 1144-nucleotide long non-coding RNA is filed under the name Marmota monax (woodchuck). The record is from RNAcentral. Lineage: Eukaryota; Metazoa; Chordata; Mammalia; Rodentia; Sciuridae.